Molecule: transfer RNA, 81 nt
Filed under: Imshaugia aleurites
Lineage: Eukaryota; Fungi; Ascomycota; Lecanoromycetes; Lecanorales; Parmeliaceae
Description: tRNA-Gly
Source: RNAcentral
GCACAUCAGCCAAUGGUUAGGAUUCCACCCUUCCAUCCAAUUAGAUAGGUGGAGGUCCGUGUUCGAUUCACGGAGGUUGCA